CCGCCCCCGCCCGCCAGGGGCGGCGGGCCCUACGAACCUUUGUAUCUCAACCACUAGAAAACCGUCUGAGGAAAAAAAACAAAAUAAUCAAAACUUUCAACAACGGAUCUCUUGGCUCUGGCAUCGAUGAAGAACGCAGCGAAAUGCGAUACGUAAUGUGAAUUGCAGAAUUCAGCGAACCAUCGAAUCUUUGAACGCACAUUGCGCCCGCCAGCAUUCUGGCGGGCAUGCCUGUCCGAGCGUCAUUUCCCCCCUCACGCGCCCCGUUGCGCGCUGGUGUUGGGGCGCCCUCCGCCUGGCGGGGGGCCCCCGAAAGCGAGUGGCGGGCCCUGUGGAUGGCUCCGAGCGCAGUACCGAACGCAUGUUCUCCCCUCGCUCCGGACGCCCCCCAGGCGCCCUGCCGUGAAAACGCGCAUGACGCGCAGCUCUUUUUACAAGGUUGACCUCGGAUCAG
Molecule: unclassified non-coding RNA, 454 nt
Filed under: Sporothrix schenckii
Lineage: Eukaryota; Fungi; Ascomycota; Sordariomycetes; Ophiostomatales; Ophiostomataceae
Description: sequence contains 18S rRNA gene, ITS1, 5.8S rRNA gene, ITS2, 28S rRNA gene
Rfam family: 5.8S ribosomal RNA (bases 92-245)
Source: RNAcentral